UACGGAGGGUGCGAGCGUUGCUCGGAAUUAUUGGGCGUAAAGCGUACGCAGGCGGCUCGGCAAGUCGAGUGUGAAAUCCCGGGGCUCAACUCCGGAACUGCAUUCGAUACUGCCGGGCUUGAGUGCGGGAGAGGGAAGCGGAAUUCCUGGUGUAGAGGUGAAAUUCGUAGAUAUCAGGAGGAACACCGGUGGCGAAAGCGGCUUCCUGGCCCGACACUGACGCUCAUGUACGAAAGCGUGGGGAGCAAACAGG
This 253-nucleotide ribosomal RNA is filed under the name uncultured bacterium. Its description in RNAcentral is "partial 16S ribosomal RNA". It matches the Rfam family "Bacterial small subunit ribosomal RNA", at positions 524 to 776 of the family's 1533-position model. The record is from RNAcentral.